RNAcentral lists this ribosomal RNA (116 nucleotides) under Tessaratoma papillosa. Its description in RNAcentral is "partial 16S ribosomal RNA". Lineage: Eukaryota; Metazoa; Arthropoda; Insecta; Hemiptera; Tessaratomidae. The record is from RNAcentral.
AAAUAUUUAAAGGUCGAACAGACCUAGAAAUUUAGCUGCUACACCAAAAUCUUAAUUUAAUCCAACAUCGAGGUCGCAAACUCCUAUAUCGAUAAGAACUCUCCAUAGAAAUUACG